Molecule: non-coding RNA, 2024 nt
Organism: Cricetulus griseus (Chinese hamster)
Lineage: Eukaryota; Metazoa; Chordata; Mammalia; Rodentia; Cricetidae
Source: RefSeq, a predicted model, not a curated record
GUCAUCAAGAGAGAGGGUACAGGCACAGAGACACCCAUGAUUGGGGACCGGGUCUUUGUCCACUACACUGGCUGGCUAUUAGAUGGCACAAAGUUUGACUCCAGUCUGGAUCGCAAGGACAAAUUCUCCUUUGACCUGGGAAAAGGGGAGGUCAUCAAGGCUUGGGACAUUGCUGUGGCAACCAUGAAAGUGGGGGAAGUCUGCCAUAUCACCUGCAAGCCGGAAUAUGCCUAUGGUUCAGCGGGCAGCCCCCCAAAGAUCCCCCCCAACGCCACGCUUGUAUUCGAGGUAGAGCUGUUUGAGUUCAAAGGAGAAGAUCUUACAGAAGAUGAAGAUGGUGGGAUCAUCCGCAGAAUACGGACUCGUGGUGAAGGCUAUGCCAGACCCAAUGAUGGUGCCAUGGUAGAAGUGGCACUGGAAGGCUACUAUAAGGACCAGCUCUUUGACCAGCGGGAGCUCCGCUUUGAAGUCGGCGAAGGGGAAAGCCUAGAUCUGCCCUGUGGGCUGGAGUCGGCCAUUCAGCGAAUGGAAAAAGGCGAACGUUCCAUUGUAUACCUCAAACCUAGCUAUGCUUUUGGCAGUGUUGGGAAGGAAAAGUUUCAGAUCCCACCACAUGCUGAACUGAGGUAUGAAGUCCAUCUGAAGAGUUUCGAGAAGGCCAAGGAAUCUUGGGAGAUGAACUCUGAGGAAAAGCUGGAGCAGAGCAACAUAGUGAAAGAGAGGGGCACUGUAUACUUCAAGGAAGGCAAGUACAAGCAAGCUUUGCUGCAGUACAAGAAGAUUGUGUCUUGGCUAGAAUACGAGUCUAGUUUUUCCGGUGAGGAAAUGCAAAAGGUCCAUGCCCUUCGACUGGCCUCACACCUCAAUCUGGCCAUGUGUCACCUGAAACUGCAGGCCUUCUCAGCUGCCAUCGAAAGCUGUAACAAGGCCCUGGAGCUGGACAGCAACAAUGAGAAGGGCCUGUUCCGCCGGGGAGAGGCACACCUGGCCGUGAAUGACUUUGACCUUGCACGAGCUGACUUCCAAAAGGUCCUGCAGCUCUAUCCAAGCAACAAAGCCGCCAAGGCCCAGCUGGCGGUGUGCCAGCAGCGGACCCGCAGGCAGCUUGCCCGGGAGAAGAGGCUCUAUGCUAACAUGUUUGAGAGGCUGGCUGAGGAGGAGCAGAAGUGUCCCUAACACCAUCCAGAAGAAACAGAUUACAGAACGUACCACCUUUCUAGUAGCCACAUUUAAAAGGCCAAGGCAGAGGUGGCUGCAGGAGACCAUCCCACUGACACAGAGAUGAAGGGUGAGCCGAACAAUAUGGCAGGGAAUCAGUCUCAAGUAGAGACGGAAGCCUAGCCUGCCUCUCUGCACCUGCCCACCCCUGCGGCUGCCUGCCUCCCUGCUCCCUUCCCUACUCCACCCUGUUAGUUUUGUAAAAACUGAAGAAUUUUGAGUGAAUUAGACCUUUAUUUUUCUAUCUGUUUGGAUGAUGGUUUUGGGGGAGGGAGAAGAGCAGGCUGGGGGUGAACUGGGGGAUAGUUGUAGAUGGUGUCAACCCUCUUUCCUUCCCCAUUACACACGAGUGUGCACCCUUCCACACAUAACGCAUCAGAAGGUUAAUUUAUUUCUCCCUCCCUCUGUUAGCUCCAUGUUUCAAGUGGUAGAAGUGGGUGUGAUAGGGAUGGGGUCUGAUAAGAAGCCAGGGUGGGGAAGUUGUCCCCUGGGCAGACAUUUUCCUCGUAUCUUCCCUCUCUGGUUGUUACCCAAACCUGCAGUCUCCAUGCAGAUGCUAGGGGCAUGGGGUAAACCACUGUGUGUCCAUUGCCUCCCUUGCCCUGCUUUCCUGAGAUGGUACCCCUGAUAAUCCUCUGGUAUUUCGGUGAUCACCUCUAGACAGCACCUUCCAGUAUCUCCGCUCCUAUUGGUUUCCCUCGUCCAGGUUGUCCUUGUCCCCAUCCCCUCAGCCUCUUUAAUGCACGCUGAAGGUCCAGGCACACCUCAAGUCCUGUGCUUGAGCAAUAAAGUGGAAACAAAAUGUG